Molecule: ribosomal RNA, 1247 nt
Filed under: Cutibacterium acnes HL036PA3
Lineage: Bacteria; Bacillati; Actinomycetota; Actinomycetes; Propionibacteriales; Propionibacteriaceae
Description: bacterial SSU rRNA
Rfam family: Bacterial small subunit ribosomal RNA
Source: RNAcentral
AGAGUUUGAUCCUGGCUCAGGACGAACGCUGGCGGCGUGCUUAACACAUGCAAGUCGAACGGAAAGGCCCUGCUUUUGUGGGGUGCUCGAGUGGCGAACGGGUGAGUAACACGUGAGUAACCUGCCCUUGACUUUGGGAUAACUUCAGGAAACUGGGGCUAAUACCGGAUAGGAGCUCCUGCUGCAUGGUGGGGGUUGGAAAGUUUCGGCGGUUGGGGAUGGACUCGCGGCUUAUCAGCUUGUUGGUGGGGUAGUGGCUUACCAAGGCUUUGACGGGUAGCCGGCCUGAGAGGGUGACCGGCCACAUUGGGACUGAGAUACGGCCCAGACUCCUACGGGAGGCAGCAGUGGGGAAUAUUGCACAAUGGGCGGAAGCCUGAUGCAGCAACGCCGCGUGCGGGAUGACGGCCUUCGGGUUGUAAACCGCUUUCGCCUGUGACGAAGCGUGAGUGACGGUAAUGGGUAAAGAAGCACCGGCUAACUACGUGCCAGCAGCCGCGGUGAUACGUAGGGUGCGAGCGUUGUCCGGAUUUAUUGGGCGUAAAGGGCUCGUAGGUGGUUGAUCGCGUCGGAAGUGUAAUCUUGGGGCUUAACCCUGAGCGUGCUUUCGAUACGGGUUGACUUGAGGAAGGUAGGGGAGAAUGGAAUUCCUGGUGGAGCGGUGGAAUGCGCAGAUAUCAGGAGGAACACCAGUGGCGAAGGCGGUUCUCUGGGCCUUUCCUGACGCUGAGGAGCGAAAGCGUGGGGAGCGAACAGGCUUAGAUACCCUGGUAGUCCACGCUGUAAACGGUGGGUACUAGGUGUGGGGUCCAUUCCACGGGUUCCGUGCCGUAGCUAACGCUUUAAGUACCCCGCCUGGGGAGUACGGCCGCAAGGCUAAAACUCAAAGGAAUUGACGGGGCCCCGCACAAGCGGCGGAGCAUGCGGAUUAAUUCGAUGCAACGCGUAGAACCUUACCUGGGUUUGACAUGGAUCGGGAGUGCUCAGAGAUGGGUGUGCCUCUUUUGGGGUCGGUUCACAGGUGGUGCAUGGCUGUCGUCAGCUCGUGUCGUGAGAUGUUGGGUUAAGUCCCGCAACGAGCGCAACCCUUGUUCACUGUUGCCAGCACGUUAUGGUGGGGACUCAGUGGAGACCGCCGGGGUCAACUCGGAGGAAGGUGGGGAUGACGUCAAGUCAUCAUGCCCCUUAUGUCCAGGGCUUCACGCAUGCUACAAUGGCUGGUACAGAGAGUGGCGAGCCUGUGAGGG